Molecule: ribosomal RNA, 497 nt
Filed under: uncultured bacterium
Lineage: Bacteria
Description: partial 16S ribosomal RNA
Rfam family: Bacterial small subunit ribosomal RNA
Source: RNAcentral
GAUGAACGCUGGCGGCGUGCCUAAUACAUGCCAGUCGAGCGAACGGACGAGAAGCUUGCUUUUCUGAUGUUAGCGGCGGACGGGUGAGUAACACGUGGAUAACCUACCUAUAAGACCGGGAUAACUUCGGGAAACCGGAGCUAAUACCGGAUAAUAUUUUGAACCGCAUGGUUCAAAAGUGAAAGACGGUCUUGCUGUCACUUAUAGAUGGAUCCGCGCUGCAUUAGCUAGUUGGUAAGGUAACGGCUUACCAAGGCAACGAUGCAUAGCCGACCUGAGAGGGUGAUCGGCCACACUGGAACUGAGACACGGUCCAGACUCCUACGGGAGGCAGCAGUAGGGAAUCUUCCGCAAUGGGCGAAAGCCUGACGGAGCAACGCCGCGUGAGUGAUGAAGGUCUUCGGAUCGUAAAACUCUGUUAUUAGGGAAGAACAUAUGUGUAAGUAACUGUGCACAUCUUGACGGUACCUAAUCAGAAAGCCACGGCUAACUACGUG